RNAcentral lists this ribosomal RNA (299 nucleotides) under uncultured bacterium. Its description in RNAcentral is "partial 16S ribosomal RNA". It matches the Rfam family "Bacterial small subunit ribosomal RNA", at positions 335 to 631 of the family's 1533-position model. The record is from RNAcentral.
UGCCUACGGGAGGCAGCAGUGAGGAAUAUUGGUCAAUGGGCGGGAGCCUGAACCAGCCAAGUCGCGUGAGGGAAGACGGUCCUACGGAUUGUAAACCUCUUUUGCCGGGGAGCAACGGGGUCCUUGCGAGGGCCCGAUGAGAGUACCCGGAGAAAAAGCAUCGGCUAACUCCGUGCCAGCAGCCGCGGUAAUACGUAGGUGGCAAGCGUUAUCCGGAUUUACUGGGUGUAAAGGGCGUGUAGGCGGGAGAGCAAGUCAGACGUGAAAUUCCAGGGCUCAACCCUGGAACUGCGUUUGAA